Non-coding RNA from Microcebus murinus (gray mouse lemur), 4132 nucleotides. Lineage: Eukaryota; Metazoa; Chordata; Mammalia; Primates; Cheirogaleidae. The record is from RefSeq and is a predicted model, not a curated record.
CAGCGGUGGCAGCAACACCGGCUUGGGCCCCCUCCCUCCUCCGUUCCCCCUCCUCCCUCUCCCCUCAGCCGUGGUUCCUGAGGAGUCCGAGCCGUGUGGAGGGGCGGCCGCAAGCUCCAGGAAGAAUGUCAAGGCAGCAAGCAACCAGUACCUUGAAGCAUGCAGUUGUGAUAACAUUAAUGGAUUUGGCAUUAUUCCAGAUGUUUCUGGUAGAGGGUCAAUUCACUACUCUGAAAGUACAUUCUCCCAAGAAGAAGGGACAGAAAGAAAGACCUCUUUGUAAGAAAGCCUUGAGUAUCCCAUGAACGAGCCAGCAGAAAACCGACUGGGGUGCAGCAGGACUCCAGAGCCAAAUAUAAGGCUCAGAAAAGGGCACCAGCUUGAUGGUACAAGGGGAGGUGAUAAUGACAACCACCAAGGAGAUUUGGAGCCUAUUAUAGAGGCAUCUGUUCUUUCUUCCCAUCAUAGAAAAACCUCUGAGGAGCAUGAGUGCAUUGAUGAAGCUUCUCAGGAAGAUGACGGGUUUAUGGGGAUGUCCCUUCUCUUACAAGCCCAUCAUGCUAUGGAAAGAAUGGAAGAGUUUGUUUCUAAGGUCUGGGAAGGACGGUGGCGAGUAAUCCCUCAUGAUGUACUACCAGACUGGCUCAAGGAUAACGACUUCCUUCUACAUGGACACCGGCCUCCUAUGCCUUCAUUCCGAGCCUGUUUUAAGAGCAUUUUCAGAAUACACACAGAGACAGGCAACAUCUGGACACAUCUCUUAGGUUGUGUAUUCUUCCUGUGCCUGGGGAUCUUUUAUAUGUUCCGCCCAAACAUCUCCUUUGUGGCCCCUCUGCAAGAGAAAGUGGUCUUUGGAUUAUUUUUCUUGGGAGCCAUUCUCUGCCUUUCUUUUUCUUGGCUCUUCCAUACAGUCUACUGCCACUCAGAAGGGGUUUCCCGGCUCUUCUCUAAACUGGAUUACUCUGGUAUUGCUCUUCUGAUUAUGGGAAGUUUUGUUCCUUGGCUUUAUUAUUCUUUCUACUGUAAUCCACAACCUUGCUUCAUCUACUGGAUUGUCAUCUGUGUGCUGGGCAUUGCAGCCAUUAUAGUCUCCCAGUGGGACAUGUUUGCCACUCCUCAGUAUCGGGGAGUAAGAGCAGGUGUGUUUUGGGGCCUAGGCCUGAGUGGAAUCAUUCCCACCUUGCACUAUGUCAUCUCCAGGGAUUCCUGAAGGCUGCCACCAUAGGUCAGAUUGGCUGGUUGCUGUUGAUGGCCAGCCUCUACAUUACAGGGGCAGCCCUAUAUGCUGCCCACAUCCCUGAAAGCUUCUUUCCUGGCAAAUGUGAUAUCUGGUUUCACUCUCAUCAGUUGUUUCAUAUCUUCGUGGUUGCCGUAGCUUUUGUUCACUUCCAUGGUGUCUCAAACCUGCAGGAGUUACGUUUCAUGAUCGGCGGGGGCUGCAGUGAGGAGGAUGCACUGUGACACCUACCAGGAGCCAGGGACUUGACCCUGAACCUGCAGGCCUCUCUGCCAGCCACUCAUGCCAGUACCAAAGGAGCCCCCAAAGUUUGACAGCCUCUUGGGCUUUGUGACAGCCCAGGGGCUCCACAUGGUACACAGCUGAGAAGAGAAAAACAAAAUAAAUCAUACCUCAAAGGAUGAAGUGCAUCAAUAUGGAGAAUUGGCCCAAAGCCUGACUUACUCUUGGGAUCUCCAGAUUGAGGGCUCUGCAAGACCCUUGGCAAACUGGCUUCUGAUCCGUAUCAUAUUUAUUUGUAUAAGAUGGGGAACCAGUUUGGCUGACGGUUUUUUCUUCUCCCUUUCUCUCUCCUUAAAACAAUAAUACAAACCAAUUUAGGUGAACAUUUAUAUCCAGUUAAUGGGUGGGAGUGUGAUUUUCAAUGCUCUUUUGGGAGAACAAAGAAAUUGAUGUAAAUAAGAUUUCUAACUUACUGUUUAAGAAUUUAUAUAAAUGUUUAAAACAUAGGGGUAGAGAAGGGAGGGAGAAUUUUCUCAUAGAACAAAACAUGCAAGUACCACACACUGUUUCAAUUUUGCACAAAGUGACUGUAGGAGGAUCAGAUGAUGGCCCCAAAUGUACAAUAUCUUGGUACAUCAAGGUGCCUUCUAAAGGCUGACAUACCUUGGACCUGAGCGGAGUGGAGAGUCGAACCCAGCCGGGUGAUCACACGACCACUCUCAAGCCUGAGAGCCUUUGGGAGUCCUGAGGGAAAUGGUAUGUUUUUUCCCAGUGGAAGCAGAACAUGAGUGGCUGGCAGGAUGGGUUAGAUAAAGGCUUUGGUUAAGGUGUCAUUUGAGAGACUGACUUGUAGGCUGACAGUGACCCUCUCUAAGGAGUAGAGCCACCUGCUUCUACCAUCCAUGCUGGUAAAGGGGUGGUGGAGAUAGUGAAGGAGCUCUGGAAAUGUUAGCACGGGCUGAUCUGGUUACUUCCUGGCAUCCUGCUCAAGUUUGUGGAUAAUUCUUAUUAGAGAAGUGUUACAGUUUUCCAUAUUUUUGCUAUGGAUCUCUGGAACACCCUGUAAAUUUCCUCUAUUCUCUGCCCAACUGCCCGCCCUUCUGGGAAUAAAAAUUGACCUUUCCCUGGCAUCCUAAUUCCUAGCAUGGAGCCAGCCACAAAUGAGAUUCUGACUUGUCCAGGUGCCUCCUCUUUUGACAUAAGUUGAGAGAACCCUUCGUUAGGAUUAGGAAGGAUGAGUCUCACCUCUGGGCCACUGUCUUGUUAAGUGUAGGUGUGACAGACACCUCAGCUCUCCUUGAACUAGAAAACCAAUGGAAGUCUUGGGAAGCAGAGUCCAUUUCCCACUGUGGAGCUGUCAGCUGUCAUUGAGCCCGACUGCACAGGGAUAGGGUGUUAAGAAGUGUUAGAGGAAAUAGUAUGUUAUUGCCAGAGAGUCUGGUAGAGUCCUUAAGGCUGUGUCUUUGAAUUCUUGCUAGAAGUACAAAAUGAUUGCUCAUGUUUCAGAGCCACCGUGCUGUGGUGUCAGGGAGAGUGGUGGAGGAAGGAUCUGGUUCAUAGAGUCCUAAUCUUGGCUUAUAGGUGAACCACACUUUGGCACUUGAGUCUUAGGUUACUGUCAUCAAAGACUUGGGGUGACUCUAUCACAUCCUGGGGAUUAUGGGACUAAAUUGAGGCCCUUGGCCUCAGGGCUAGCAUCCUCAGUGGGUGUUUGGGAAUAUGGGAAGGGUCUCUUUAUUCAGUAGAGUUUUCUUAGUUAUUUUUCUCCUUUCUUUCCCCUUUUAAUCUCCAGCAAAAGCUGGAAUCCAGGAAGAAAGAAACCAAUGUAGAAGUUGGGAAGAACUUAAGAGUAUUUUGGUUCUGGAUAAAGUCACUGCCCUGGGUGCUAGGUGGUCUGAGAGGAGACUCAGUGGGUAAAUUGUGGCAGUGCCUGACGGAAUAUAGAGCAGUAUUAAUCCCUUUGAGAAAAUGUAGUCCGGUAGGACAGUGGCCAUCUGGAUGGAAGCUCACUUAGUUUCAUGGGAGCAACAGCACAUAUCAGAAGCCAGACUUGCUCUUCGGUCAUGCACUUUGGGACACAGGGUAUGAGAUGCAGCCCUGUUAUAACACCAACAGAAGUAGCAGCCUCUGGGCCCAGUCACCCACACCCCAAAGCAGGAAGAAUCUGGUUCAACAUAGCACAAACCCUUAGGAAAAAUGAAAUUACCAUCACCAAUGUGGAAUCCAGUAAAAAUCUCCCUCUUUUGGGUGUGUAUGUGGGCAUGUGUGUGCCCAUUUGUAUGUGUGUGUCUGUGUGCAACUCACUACCAACAGCCUCAAUGUGCACUUGACCUUACAGUGCUCGCUGAGAACUCUCACCAGGUUGGCGCCUGAAUGCCUUACUCUCAGCAGUCAGAGGCUUGCUUGCUCUGUGCAGAUUUUUAAUUUUCUUUUUUUGGCCCUAGGCUUGUUAGGACCUCUACAGCUUCAUUUUUCCAUCAUUAAAUAGUGGCCUUUUUCAGUAUUUCCCCCCCUUCCCCUUUAUAAAUUGCUGAAGCCACAAAGCACAUUUUUGGGGAUCAUAGAAGGUUGGGGUUCCAGAAGGGCAUCUGUGUAAUGGUUCAUUCACCGUGGGAGUUCCCUACUUGCCGUAUUCUCAAUUUCUUCUAAUAAAAAGAACCAAAUGAAAAAAAA